This 497-nucleotide ribosomal RNA is filed under the name uncultured bacterium. RNAcentral describes it as "partial 16S ribosomal RNA". It matches the Rfam family "Bacterial small subunit ribosomal RNA", at positions 28 to 507 of the family's 1533-position model. The record is from RNAcentral.
GAUGAACGCUGGCGGCGUGCCUAAUACAUGCAAGUCGAGCGAACGGACGAGAAGCUUGCUUCUCUGAUGUUAGCGGCGGACGGGUGAGUAACACGUGGAUAACCUACCUAUAAGACUGGGAUAACUUCGGGAAACCGGAGCUAAUACCGGAUAAUAUUUUGAACCGCAUGGUUCAAAAGUGAAAGACGGUCUUGCUGUCACUUGUAGAUGGAUCCGCGCUGCAUUAGCUAGUUGGUAAGGUAACGGCUUACCAAGGCAACGAUGCAUAGCCGACCUGAGAGGGUGAUCGGCCACACUGGAACUGAGACACGGUCCAGACUCCUACGGGAGGCAGCAGUAGGGAAUCUUCCGCAAUGGGCGAAAGCCUGACGGAGCAACGCCGCGUGAGUGAUGAAGGUCUUCGGAUCGUAAAACUCUGUUAUUAGGGAAGAACAUAUGUGUAAGUAACUGUGCACAUCUUGACGGUACCUAAUCAGAAAGCCACGGCUAACUACGUG